GCCGCGCCGCCCCGAGCCCCGUGGUCGCCCCCGCCGGCGUCCCUCCACCCCAGCCAAGCCCGAUCGGUCCUCAGCGGGGCCUGCCCUGCCCACCCCGCGGCAGCAUCCCUCCCAAAGACAAAGCAGCCGGCAACCUGGCCCACUCCUCUCCAGCAGGGUCGACCCUGAGCCCCAGCUGAAUGGAGUAAAGCAGGGGAACAGGUGGGAGAAUGUGCCAAGAAUCACCCAGGUGCCUCCAGGGCUUGAGGACCGGAACUCACCAGGUGCUCCUCUCCUUCUCCUGUUUUGUUCCCAAGGUGAACAUAGAGCCCUGCAUGUAGUAGACUCUCAGAUACCUAUUAGAUGAGUUAAUGGAUGGCUUUAUAACUGGAAACCUGCGUGGAUUAAUGAGUGAAUAAAUGGCCAAUUAACUAAUUGGA
Long non-coding RNA from Peromyscus californicus insignis, 419 nucleotides. RefSeq lists it as uncharacterized. Lineage: Eukaryota; Metazoa; Chordata; Mammalia; Rodentia; Cricetidae. The transcript has 2 exons. The record is from RefSeq and is a predicted model, not a curated record.